AUUACUUUGACAGAAUAAUGUAAUAAAUUUAGAAUUUAUUUAAGUAGUAAAUAACUAUCUACAAGUAAUA
This 70-nucleotide transfer RNA is filed under the name Meteorus sp. 1 XHS-2023a. Its description in RNAcentral is "tRNA-Leu". The record is from RNAcentral. Lineage: Eukaryota; Metazoa; Arthropoda; Insecta; Hymenoptera; Braconidae.